GAUGAAGAACGUAGUGAAAUGCGAUAAGUAAUGUGAAUUGCAGAAUCCAGUGAAUCAUCGAAUCUUUGAACGCACAUUGCGCCCGCCAGCAUUCUGGCGGGCAUGCCUGUUCGAGCGUCAUUUCAACCCUCGACCUCCCCUUGGGGAGGUCGGCGUUGGGGACCGGCAGCACACCGCCGGCCCUGAAAUGGAGUGGCGGCCCGUCUGCGGCGACCUCUGCGUAGUAAUACAGCUCGCACCGGAACCCCGACGCGGCCACGCCGUAAAACACCCAACUUCUGAACGUUGACCUCGAAUCAGGUAGGACUACCCGCUGAACUUGAGCAUAUCAAUAAGCGGAGGA
Molecule: unclassified non-coding RNA, 343 nt
Filed under: soil metagenome
Description: partial contains 5.8S ribosomal RNA, internal transcribed spacer 2, and large subunit ribosomal RNA
Rfam family: 5.8S ribosomal RNA (bases 1-120)
Source: RNAcentral